CAGCGGAGGGAUCAUUACUGAGUGUAAAAACUCCCAAACCACUGUGAACAUACCAUGUUGCUUCGGCGGUUCCCGUCCUGUCCUGCCUCACCGCGAGCCAGGCCGGGCCGCCGCCGGAGGACCCAGACUCUUGUCUUUAUAGUGACUUUCUGAGUGGCAUAAGCAAAAUAAAUCAAAACUUUCAGCAACGGAUCUCUUGGUUCUGGCAUCGAUGAAGAACGCAGCAAAAUGCGAUAAGUAAUGUGAAUUGCAGAAUUCAGUGAAUCAUCGAAUCUUUGAACGCACAUUGCGCCCGCCAGUACUCUGGCGGGCAUGCCUGUCUGAGCGUCAUUUCAACCCUCGGGACCCCGUUCGCGGGACCCGGCGCUGGGGAUCAGCUUGUAAAAGAGCUGGCCCUGAAAUCUAGUGGCGGUCCGCCAGCGAUCUCCUCUGUGCAGUAGUUAAUACCUCGCAGCUGGAUAGCGGUCGGGCCACGCCGUAAAACCCCCACUUUCUCAAGGUUGACCUCAGAUCAGGUAGGAAUACCCGCUGAACUUAAGCAUAUCAAUAAGCGGAGGAAAAGAAACCAACAGGGAUUGCCCUAGUAACGGCGAGUGAAGCGGCAACAGCUCAAAUUUGAAAUCUGGCCUUACGGUCCGAGUUGUAAUUUGCAGAGGAUGCUUCUGGCGACGUGCCUUCCGAGUUCCCUGGAACGGGACGCCAUAGAGGGUGAGAGCCCCGUCCGGUCGUGCACCUAGCCUCUGUGAAGCUCCUUCGACGAGUCGAGUAGUUUGGGAAUGCUGCUCUAAAUGGGAGGUAUACGUCUUCUAAAGCUAAAUACCGGCCAGAGACCGAUAGCGCACAAGUAGAGUGAUCGAAAGAUGAAAAGCACUUUGAAAAGAGGGUUAAAUAGUACGUGAAAUUGCUGAAAGGGAAGCGCUUAUGACCAGACUUGGGCUCGGUGAAUCAUCCGGCGUUCUCGCCGGUGCACUUUGCCGUCCCAGGCCAGCAUCAGUUCGCGCCGGGGGAUAAAGGUUUCGGGAAUGUGGCCCCCUUGGGGGUGUUAUAGCCCGUUGCGUAAUACCCUGGCGUGGACUGAGGUCCGCG
RNAcentral lists this small RNA (1086 nucleotides) under Acremonium sp. B12. RNAcentral's name for it is "eukaryotic LSU rRNA". The stretch from base 502 to 1086 matches the Rfam family "Eukaryotic large subunit ribosomal RNA", at positions 1 to 597 of the family's 3401-position model. Lineage: Eukaryota; Fungi; Ascomycota; Sordariomycetes; Hypocreales; Bionectriaceae. The record is from RNAcentral.